Molecule: long non-coding RNA, 1213 nt
Filed under: Nicotiana tabacum (common tobacco)
Lineage: Eukaryota; Viridiplantae; Streptophyta; Magnoliopsida; Solanales; Solanaceae
Description: long non-coding RNA (NTAB_LNC010455)
Source: RNAcentral
AAGUCUUCAUUCAAGACAGCAAAUCUGUUCUUGGUUUUGAAACCAAAAACGUUGAGCAGAAAAUGUUUCGUCCAAAAUUUUAUUUUCAAUCCAAGCCAACAACGCUAGAAGCAGAAGACAAUUCUGUUCCAAUUUCAAAUCCAAGUAUAAAUUACGUUCAGGAAUUUCGCAGAAGCAGAUUCGUUCAAAUAAUUCAACAAACAGGUAUGUUAAGGCCCUUCCUUCUUUCUUUUGGCAUGGUCCAAAUUAUAUUGAAAAAACGAGCAACUACACAGUUUCCAUAAAUUACUCUAUUCGUAGAAAUAUUAGGGGUGUUUAUAUUCUUGAUUCCCCAUGAAAAUUAUUAUUAUCUUCUGUUCAUGGGUCUCAGAAUAAUACACAAUUGAAAAAGUUUAUCCGGAACUGAUAUUAAGAUUAUUACGUAUUUUUCAUGCAUUUCACUCAUUUAUACAUGUGUAUUGACCCAUGACUAGAUGGCGUUAUAUACGCGUAUAUAUGUAAAUAUAUGUAUAUGGGAUAUGGAAAAAGUUUACGGCAUUAUAUACGCACCACCACCUGAUCAGCCGGUAUAUGUUGAUGAUGUUGCCCAUAGUGGUCGAGAAGAUAUGAUGGGAUGCCCUCAGUGGCUUGAUGAUAUUAUGUACACCCAUACCUAUGCAUGGCACGACAUUUAUACACACGUGCAUGACAUUAGAAACGUUUCGGAAUUUAUAAAGUUUUUCAGAUUUAAUGAUGUGUUUCUGUAUUCCAUGUUUCAUCUAUGUCUUUUACGUACUAAUUUUCAUGCCUUAUAUACUCAUUACAUAUUUCGUACUGAUGCCCUAUUUCACUGGGCCUGCAUUUCAUGCCCAUAGGUGCAGGUAAGCAAGCUGAUGGUCCCUCUUCUUAGGAUCCUUGAUCAGCGAGAGUUGGCAUGCUCCAUUUGAUCCGGAGCUGUUUUUGAUUUUGGUACGAUACGUUUGUAUAUACAUAUGUAUAUGGGUAUGACGUGGCUCAGUCCCAUAUUUGUACAACUAUAUUUCUGUUAGAGGUUUGUGGACAGUAUGUCUAGUUGGGUUGUAUAUGGCCUUAUCGGCUUUCAGUUUUGGAUGUACAGUUGUCUAUAGCAACCUUGCCGGCUCGCCCACUGUAUCCUGCAUGUAUACGUACAUAUGCCUUGAUGACAAAUUUCUUUUAUGUGUGUUAUUUUUAUAAUGUAGCAAAUGUUAUUCAG